UUUCGAAUCAUUCACAAUGGGCGAAAGCCUGAUGGUGCGACGCCGCGUGAGGGAUGAAGGUCUUCGGAUUGUAAACCUCUGUCACCGGGGAAGAAACGCUUUGAGUUAAUAGUUCAAAGCCUGACUUAACCCGGAGAGGAAGCAGUGGCUAACUCUGUGCCAGCAGCCGCGGUAAUACAGAGACUGCAAGCGUUAUUCGGAUUCACUGGGCGUAAAGGGUGCGCAGGCGGCCAAGUGUGUGAGGCGUGAAAGCCCGGGGCUUAACCCCGGAAUUGCACCUCAAACUACAUGGCUAGAGCAUUGGAGAGGGUAGCGGAAUUCACGGUGUAGCAGUGAAAUGCGUAGAUAUCGUGAGGAACACCAGAGGCGAAGGCGGCUACCUGGACAAUUGCUGACGCUCAGGCACGAAAGCGUGGGGAGCAAAAGGGAUUAGAUACCCCCGUAGUCC
Molecule: ribosomal RNA, 448 nt
Filed under: uncultured bacterium
Lineage: Bacteria
Description: bacterial SSU rRNA
Rfam family: Bacterial small subunit ribosomal RNA
Source: RNAcentral